CCAAGGAUGUUUUCAUUAAUCAAGAAUGAAAGUUGGGGGCUCGAAGACGAUCAGAUACCGUCCUAGUCUCAACCAUAAACGAUGCCGACCAGGGAUCGGUGGAUGUUUCUCUAAGGACUCCGCCAUCACCUUAUGAAAAAUAAGAGUGUUUGGGUUACGGGGGGAGUAUGGUCACAAGGAUGAAACUUAAAGGAAUUGAUGGAAGGGCACCACCAGGAGUGGAGCCUGUGGCUUAAUUUGACUCAACACGGGAAAACUUACCAGGUCCAGACAUAGUAAGGAUUGACAGAUUGAGAGCUCCUUCUUGAUUCUAUGGGUGGUGGUGCAUGGACGUUCUUAGUUGGUGGAGUGAUUUGUCUAGUUAAUUCCAAUAAUGAACAAGACCUCAUCCUGCUAACUAGCUACGUGGAGGUUCCCCUUCGCGGCCAGCUUCUUAGGGGGACUAUGGUCAUUUAGGCCAUGGAAGUUUGAGGCAAUAACAGGUCUAUGAUGCCCUUAGAUGUUUUGAGCUACACGCACGCUACACUGAUGCAGUCGAUGAGUUUUUGUCCAUGGUUCGAGAGGAUCGGGAAAUCUUCUCAAAUUGCAUCAUGAUGGGGAUAGACCAUUGAAAUUAUUGGUCUUCAACGAGGAAUUCCUAGUAAGCGCGUGUCAUCAGCUCGUGUUGACUACGUCCUUUCCCUUUGUACACACUGCCCGUCACUCGUACUGAUUGAAUGAUCUGGUGAAGUGUUCGGAUCAUGUCAAUGAGGGUGGUUCACCGCCGAUGAUGUCGUGAGAAGUUCACUGAACCUUAUCAUUUAGAGGAAGGAGAAGUCGUAACAAGGCUACCGUAGGUGAACCUGCGGUAGUAUCAUUG
This is a non-coding RNA of Picea glauca (white spruce), 859 nucleotides long. NCBI's taxonomy places the organism in Eukaryota, Viridiplantae, Streptophyta, Pinopsida, Pinales, Pinaceae. The record is from Rfam.